AUAGUUUGAUCCUGGCUCAGAACGAACGCUGGCGGCAGGCUUAACACAUGCAAGUCGAGCGGGCCCUUCGGGGUCAGCGGCAGACGGGUGAGUAACGCGUGGGAAUCUACCCAUCCCUACGGAACAACUCCGGGAAACUGGAGCUAAUACCGUAUACGCCCUUCGGGGGAAAGAUUUAUCGGGGAUGGAUGAGCCCGCGUUGGAUUAGCUAGUUGGUGGGGUAAAGGCCUACCAAGGCGACGAUCCAUAGCUGGUCUGAGAGGAUGAUCAGCCACAUUGGGACUGAGACACGGCCCAAACUCCUACGGGAGGCAGCAGUGGGGAAUAUUGGACAAUGGGCGCAAGCCUGAUCCAGCCAUGCCGCGUGAGUGAUGAAGGCCCUAGGGUUGUAAAGCUCUUUCAACGGUGAANAUAAUGACGGUAGCCGUAAAANAAGCCCCGGCUAACUUCGUGCUAGCCGCCGCGGUAAUUC
RNAcentral lists this ribosomal RNA (472 nucleotides) under uncultured bacterium. Its description in RNAcentral is "bacterial SSU rRNA". It matches the Rfam family "Bacterial small subunit ribosomal RNA", at positions 8 to 526 of the family's 1533-position model. The record is from RNAcentral.